Molecule: non-coding RNA, 29 nt
Filed under: Mus musculus (house mouse)
Lineage: Eukaryota; Metazoa; Chordata; Mammalia; Rodentia; Muridae
Source: RNAcentral
UAGCAAAUACGAUGACGCCAUGGUCUGCA